UCCGAUAUGGUCUAGUGGCUAGGAUUUGCCGCUCUCAUCGAGAGUCAGUUCGCCUCAGCGCCGGCAAGGCCCGGGUUCGAUUCCCGGUGUCGGAA
Molecule: transfer RNA, 95 nt
Filed under: Curvularia clavata
Lineage: Eukaryota; Fungi; Ascomycota; Dothideomycetes; Pleosporales; Pleosporaceae
Rfam family: tRNA
About the family: Transfer RNA (tRNA) molecules are approximately 80 nucleotides in length. Their secondary structure includes four short double-helical elements and three loops (D, anti-codon, and T loops). Further hydrogen bonds mediate the characteristic L-shaped molecular structure. tRNAs have two regions of fundamental functional importance: the anti-codon, which is responsible for specific mRNA codon recognition, and the 3' end, to which the tRNAs corresponding amino acid is attached (by aminoacyl-tRNA synthetases). tRNAs cope with the degeneracy of the genetic code in two manners: having more than one tRNA (with a specific anti-codon) for a particular amino acid; and 'wobble' base-pairing, i.e. permitting non-standard base-pairing at the 3rd anti-codon position.
Source: Rfam by way of RNAcentral